RNAcentral lists this non-coding RNA (22 nucleotides) under Arabidopsis thaliana (thale cress). Lineage: Eukaryota; Viridiplantae; Streptophyta; Magnoliopsida; Brassicales; Brassicaceae. The record is from RNAcentral.
UGCGUAACGUCCCCAUGGUCUC